RNAcentral lists this ribosomal RNA (253 nucleotides) under uncultured bacterium. RNAcentral describes it as "partial 16S ribosomal RNA". It matches the Rfam family "Bacterial small subunit ribosomal RNA", at positions 524 to 776 of the family's 1533-position model. The record is from RNAcentral.
UACAGAGGUGGCAAGCGUUGUUCGGAAUUACUGGGCGUAAAGGGCGAGUAGGUGGCCAUCUAAGUCAGACGUGAAAUCCCCCGGCUUAACCUGGGAACUGCGUCUGAUACUGGACGGCUAGAGUUUGGGAGAGGGAUGCAGAAUUCCAGGUGUAGCGGUGAAAUGCGCAGAUAUCGGAAGGAACACCAGUGGCGAAAGCGGCUUCCUGGUCCAGCACCGACGUUCAGGCACGAAAGCGUGGGGAGCAAACAGG